AUACGUAUGGUGCAAGCGUUAUCCGGAUUUACUGGGUGUAAAGGGAGUGUAGGUGGUCUGACAAGUCAGAGGUGAAAGCCCGGGGCUCAACCCCGGGACUGCCUUUGAAACUGUACAACUUGAAUCCGGGAGAGGGUGGCGGAAUUCCAGGUGUAGGAGUGAAAUCCGUAGAUAUCUGGAGGAACACCAGUGGCGAAGGCGGCUUCCUGGUCUGUAACUGACACUGAGGCGCGAAAGCGUGGGGAGC
Molecule: ribosomal RNA, 247 nt
Filed under: uncultured bacterium
Lineage: Bacteria
Description: partial 16S ribosomal RNA
Rfam family: Bacterial small subunit ribosomal RNA
Source: RNAcentral